GUGAGGAAUAUUGCGCAAUGGAGGCAACUCUGACGCAGCCAUGCCGCGUGCAGGAAGAAGGCGCUACGCGUUGUAAACUGCUUUUAACCGGGAAGAAACCCCAGGACGUGUCCUGGGUUGACGGUACCGGAGGAAUAAGCACCGGCUAACUUCGUGCCAGCAGCCGCGGUAAUACGAAGGGUGCAAGCGUUAUCCGGAUUCAUUGGGUUUAAAGGGUGCGUAGGCGGAGCGUUAAGUCAGUGGUGAAAUACUGCAGCUUAACUGUAGACUUGCCAUUGAUACUGGCGCUCUUGAGUGCGCUUGAAGUGGGCGGAAUGUGCCGUGUAGCGGUGAAAUGCUUAGAUAUGGCACAGAACACCAAUUGCGAAGGCAGCUCACUAAGGCGAUACUGACGCUGAGGCACGAAAGCGUGGGGAUCGAACAGGAUUAGAUACCCGAGUAGUCC
Molecule: ribosomal RNA, 445 nt
Filed under: uncultured bacterium
Lineage: Bacteria
Description: partial 16S ribosomal RNA
Rfam family: Bacterial small subunit ribosomal RNA
Source: RNAcentral